GAUGAAGAACGCAGCGAAAUGCGAUAAGUAAUGUGAAUUGCAGAAUUCAGUGAAUCAUCGAAUCUUUGAACGCACAUUGCGCCCUCUGGUAUUCCGGGGGGCAUGCCUGUUCGAGCGUCAUUAUAACCACUCAAGCUCUCGCUUGGUAUUGGGGUUCGCGGUUCCGCGGCCCCUAAAAUCAGUGGCGGUGCCUGUCGGCUCUACGCGUAGUAAUACUCCUCGCGAUUGAGUCCGGUAGGUCUACUUGCCAGCAACCCCCAAUUUUUACAGGUUGACCUCGGAUCAGGUAGGGGUACCCGCUGAACUUAAGCAUAUCAAUAAGCGGAGGA
Molecule: unclassified non-coding RNA, 329 nt
Filed under: soil metagenome
Description: partial contains 5.8S ribosomal RNA, internal transcribed spacer 2, and large subunit ribosomal RNA
Rfam family: 5.8S ribosomal RNA (bases 1-120)
Source: RNAcentral